GGGUUCAGAUGUAAAUUUUUGGCAGGAAUACUUUUUAGGUGGUAUUGCAUACUUCUAUCAGGAGGAAAAUUAUGUCUGGAUGUCUCUGUCCUACUAACAGCCAUUGAUGUUCAUUGCCUAAGUGGGAUUGCAAAAUGGAAAAAAUACAAGAAAAAGAAAUCAAAGAAGAGCAGAAAAUAUUCCAGUGAUUCAAGCUCUAAAGAUUCUCAGGAAGAUUUUCUGGAGUGUCCCUCCAAGGAUUGAUCAAAACCUGAAGAACCCUCAGAAUUAAUUGGCUCAGAGGCUCUAAAAACACUUGCCUCUCAAGAUGAUAAACCUCUGAAAUGGAUGCUUGGACGCCCAUAAUAAACAUUCCUAACGAACCAGGCCUUCAGUGAUCAUUCUCCUGCCGUUGCCCUUGGUGGCGGGACACGAUAGCUGGUGCCGAAACCCGGGACCAAAACCUGGCAUCCGAGGACGGAGUGGAACUUCUCACCCUGCGGCGAUCCGAGUGGACACCCUUUGGAAGAGCUACACAAGUGACUGACAUUUUGGAGAGUGGACCAGCAGAACCCCGUUUGGGUGCCUGAAAGUCUGAUAUGCAGAGUUGAAAAUCCCGGAGUGGAGGUACAAGAUGAUCGCACUGCUUCUGCUCCUGCCAUGGAUCCUACAGCAGGCGACGGUGGAGUCGAGCUGCAGCUGCAGCCACCGCCGCGCUGACUAUCACCAUUCCUACGGCAGAGAUGCUGAAUGGUCUGUCCCAGGCCACUGCCUCAGCAAUGACAAUGCAGAACGUCAUCAAAGGCCAUUUUAAGAAUGGGAUGGCCUUGGUCAACCAACGCAUGAACCUUCUUCAAGAACAAUUGGCCCUCUUGGGGGAGGUUUUGUCUGUGGGCUGCGUCCAUUCUUAUAUGGGGGUGUAUUACUGGUAUUCCUUUUCAUAAUUAUUCUAAAGCUGCCAACUUCUCCAGACAGGCAAGAUGUUAACCACAAAUUGGUCCAGUGAGCUUGAUGAGCUCACCACUCAGCUACUGUUAGAAAUUUUGAAUGUUAGCUCCAAGAAGGUAGAGAUGCUAUCCGUAGCUCAAAUAGCUGAAGCUGUGUUAAACGCCACCAAAGCCUGGUCAGGUGUAGGUGUCAUAGGAAUAUUGCUAAUUAUGGGCCUCCUCCUGCUUGGGAGGAAAGUCUGUUCCAUACA
This is a non-coding RNA of Manis javanica (Malayan pangolin), 1177 nucleotides long. The record is from RefSeq and is a predicted model, not a curated record. Lineage: Eukaryota; Metazoa; Chordata; Mammalia; Pholidota; Manidae.